This is an RNA transcript of Monomorium pharaonis (pharaoh ant), 3109 nucleotides long. RefSeq lists it as uncharacterized. The transcript has 4 exons. The record is from RefSeq and is a predicted model, not a curated record. Lineage: Eukaryota; Metazoa; Arthropoda; Insecta; Hymenoptera; Formicidae.
UGUCGUAAUUUUGUUGCAAAGGUUUGCUCGAGUUUGCGGCAAACUUCGCGCAAAGUUUGCGUCAUUUUGCUAGCUGGGCUGGCUCAGUGCACCAGGAGGUAGGGUCUGCUCACUUCGCAGGCUGGGAAAGCUCUGUCUUCUUAUCGCGAGUGGAGGGUUUAUGUACCCUCCACUCGGUGGUGAGGGGAGCAGAGAAGAGUGGAGGCAACGCGCGAGGUAGGGGGUAACGGCCUUAUCUCCGUUCUGGCGGCAGCGGAGGAACGGCUCGUUACAAGAUCUUACAGCAGAAAUAAAGGAAUUAUAGUUAGAAUUUACUUGCUUUUUUGCUUUUAAACCUAUUAUACGUGGAAUUUUGCUCUGUAUUAUGGAAAAGCUCAUUUCAUCCACAUUAAAUAUACGAUCAGGAGUAUAAUUGUAUUCCUCGUAUACUUUUUCUAACAUUUUAUAAAACGGACACAGAUUCUUUGUUAAAACCUAUUACUCUGAAGUGUGAAGUACCACUUGGUUUGUGAAUAGUUAAGUUUGGAUGUCUUUUGAUAAAAUGAUGAAACCAGGCUUUACUAGCUUCUCCGGUUUGACCGAAAGGAUGUUUUAAUUUAUUUUUUAUGGCUAGUUGAUAAGAGCCAGCUUUUUCACGUCACCCCUUGUUAAACCAAAAUAUCGGUUUCUCAUUAUUAGUAGAUAAUCUACUAAUUGUAUUUCCAUUUUUACAGAAAUGAUUGGCUUUUGCCUUUUGUAUUUACGGAUUCUUCUGAUGGCAAAUUUUUUGCAACGAGUCUUCGAAUUAUAGUUCCAGGAACGUUAAACAAAUUUGCAACUCUUUUGUAGCUUAAGUUUUUGUUCUUUACAGAGUCGAUUGCUAAUUGCAUGACUUUUGCAUCUCAUUUGUUCCUGUAUUUUUGUUUUUUAUUUAGCAUCUGUCUUAGCAUCUAUUACACAAAAUAAUAAUAAAUAUAACUUGGGUAUUAUAUUACACAAACAAAAAAGUAAUUAAUUCAACAAAAUAUGUAGUUGAGGGCUGUCAACUACAGAUAUACUCAUUACAUAAUAAUUUAUGCUAUUGCAAUAUUAAUGUGGCGGCACGCCAUAACGCGACGCGCGCGCAGCGUCCGCGGCUUCAGUGAUAGCGUGCGCGCGGCCACCACUAGGCGAGAGCGCGGCGCCCCUUCUCAGAAGUCAAGUGAUAGCGCUUGGAUUACAUAAGGAGACCACCCACGGCGAGAAAGCAUCCUCCUUUGCUUUGUGUGGAGAGUUCUAUCUGGGCCUAUACAAGCAGUACGUUUUUUUAAGAAACACCUAAGGGUCUUCGCACCUGAUAUUCGGUCGAAGUCUCCUCCGGGAGACAAUCAGCCUCCAACAUUCUGUCUCGCUGCAGGAAGCUGGCCCACCGCGGUUUUCGAACAAAUUCGGUGCACCCAGGACGGUCUGUUUAAGACUAUCCAGCAGCCCGCUACGGAGAAAGUCUACGUCCCGUGGAGACUCAUCUGGAUUGCCUUCUCCCAAGAGAAAUUGAAGGAUCCCAGACUUCAAUCACGGGAUCCUCGACUUUGCCCCGGUCAACAGAGGCACGCAAACGGUCAGACGCGGAGCGGUCACCAAGCCUACGCAGACCGCAAUUUCCGGAUCAAAAAUAACGGUCAACCGGCCAAUGCAGACUACAGCUUUUGGACCGCAAAUAGUGUCUAAUACCACAACCCGAGGCACGACUCCUGAGACCACAAUCGGGUCCCCCGUCGCACCAACGACGCCGAUCUUGCUUCCCCAGACACCCGGAAAGCGCAUCCCUCGCUCCGCGCUAAGGAAACAUAAAAAGGUCUUGAAGGACCUCUUCGAAAGCGACAGUGACGAGGACUAAGGAGUCCUAACCUUCUCUAGGCACCUACGAGUGCCGCCUAAUCCUUCCAUCAUUGAAGCAAGGCCACUUAGGGCCAAUUUCAUUAAAUAUCUUGUAAUCGGCGAUUAGCAAAACUUUGUUUUACAUAAACGAAGAUUUUAAUCUCGAUUAUGAUCGAUCGAGUUUCACCGGUUUUACAGUAACGCAAUUAACUCUAGUUUAGUAAAUCGAAGUUUAAGGAUAAACGAACACCGCCAACGUCGCAAAUAUAAGGAUAUAACCUAAUAUUCGCCUGCAUUUUGUGAGAUAGUGAAAGUGAAUACUUUUACCGGAAAAAAUGUUUAGUUCAAUUUUUAGUGUCAAGCGUAAAAGAGAUCCAACAUUUCAACUUGCGGAAAAAAAUAAUUUAAUUGACAUAGUUUCUAAGCACUACAAUAUUGUAGAGUGCAAAAAGACUGAUACUCUCAGCACUUGUACCAAAAACGAAGAGUGAAUGAAAAUUGCUUCAGAAUUCAAUGCAAGUUCUACGUUCACAGACAGGGAAUCGCAGGUGCUUAAAAAUCUUUGGGAAAACUAAAAGAAAAAAGCUAAAUUUGUUAUGACGCCACAGAAUCAAAGCAUUUUUGCCGCAGAUAAGUUGCAUAUUAAAAUCACAAAUUCUAAAUGCAUUUCAGCAUAGGUAAACUUCUAAUCACCAAUUCUUGCUCUAGGAGGCGGGCCACCAAAGAAAUUUAAGAAAGAUCCAACUCUGGAAAGUCAUUAUAUUGAUUUGAACCAAUGUUCAAGAUUUUGUGAAUACUUUUGACAAUGAUGGACCUAUUAUUUCAGUUUCUAAAGAAAAUGACGAGGAUACUGAUAUUACUCAUGACGAAGUAGAAAAUAUCCCUGAGGAUACAUUAAAUGGGGAUUGGUCGACCUAUCACCAUCAAUGCUCAAAAUACCUACAGCCUCUGUUCUUCGUCAAAAUCAAGAUUUGAACAUUAUAAAUAUACGAAUUGAAUAUGUCGCUGAUUCUGAAGACAUUUUGAAAGAAAACACACAAUAUUUUACUUUUCGAAGGAGGCCAAUCCUCAAACAGUCAGAGGGAGAUGAACUUGCCCACACAAAAAUAAAGACAUUGAUUGCUAGCAAUGAGCAAGCAACAGAACAACAUGAAAUAACACUGAGAAUUCUGGCGUUGCAAGAAAAACAAGAACAAGAAAAAUUAAAACAAGGGAUUGAGAAAACAGAGCAAGAGAAACUGCGUACUGAAAUGCUUCGAGAAGAAAUGCAAAA